Molecule: ribosomal RNA, 253 nt
Filed under: uncultured bacterium
Lineage: Bacteria
Description: partial 16S ribosomal RNA
Rfam family: Bacterial small subunit ribosomal RNA
Source: RNAcentral
UACGUAGGCAGCGAGCGUUGUUCGGAGUUACUGGGCGUAAAGCGUGCGUAGGCGGCGGCUCAAGUCGGGGGUGAAAUCCUCUCGCUCAACGAGAGAAUUGCCUCCGAUACUGGGUCGCUGGAGGGGGAUAGGGGUGCGCGGAACUUCCGGUGGAGCGGUGAAAUGCGUAGAUAUCGGAAGGAACGCCGGUGGCGAAAGCGGCGCACUGGAUCCCUACUGACGCUGAGGCGCGAAAGCCAGGGGAGCAAACGGG